This 819-nucleotide long non-coding RNA is filed under the name Capsella grandiflora. Its description in RNAcentral is "long non-coding RNA (CGRA_LNC000261)". The record is from RNAcentral. Lineage: Eukaryota; Viridiplantae; Streptophyta; Magnoliopsida; Brassicales; Brassicaceae.
AGAAAGAAGAAAAAGAAAAGGUUGAAGAUGAAAGGCUUGAUCAUUGAGUUUAAAAGGAGUCCCAAGGGAAUUAAAGUCAUAAGAAAAGAAGCUCUAGUAUCUAAGUAAAAGAAAGAACAAAAUGGGCAAGAUAGUCCCCAAAAGAAAAGUCUUGCAAAGGAUGAGAAAGAAGGUGGGAUUAAAUAAGAGCUUAGUGUUUAAAGAAAAGGUUCACUAGGUGGCUAAUGAAUAAUAAUGUCUUGAUCAUGAGGGUUGUGUUUUGAUAAGAAAAGAGACCAAAAGUGUCCAAUGGGUAUGGUUUGAAAAGAAAAAUAAAAAGGUUUGCAAAGGGUAGAGAUUAGGAUCUUAUAUCUAAGAUGGGUAGAACAACAAGAGCUAAUCUUUGUAUGCAUAAAUUGUUCUUUGUCUUAGAUGGAUUUCAUGAUUGUCUAGCAUUCCUUUCAUUUGAGAGUUAGUCACCCAAAGAAACAAACAAACAAAGCCACCUCAAAAAGCCUUUGCACUAAACCGAUUGAGAAUGAUUCACUUACCAUUUGCGAGACCGCGCCAAACACUUUAAUGAAUGUUAAAGAGAUGUUUCAACUUGAUUGUGAGUCUUUGCUAAUAGUUUGAGAAUGAACUAGAAUUAUGCAUUAACUUGAGUAUGAGAAAAUAUUUGAGAGUACGAUGAUUGAUUCAAGCACCUUUGAACUAUCUUUGAGGACUUUUGUUUGAAUCAUUUGCUUGAUAUUUUGGGGUUAUUGAAUUCCUCCUUCACACUUCUUCUCUUGGCCUUUAUUUAGACUGUUUGCUUGAGGAAAAGCAAAAGGCAAGUCUGGG